RNAcentral lists this unclassified non-coding RNA (507 nucleotides) under uncultured Entrophospora. RNAcentral's name for it is "SSU rRNA". It matches the Rfam family "Eukaryotic small subunit ribosomal RNA", at positions 591 to 1092 of the family's 1831-position model. The record is from RNAcentral. Lineage: Eukaryota; Fungi; Glomeromycota; Glomeromycetes; Entrophosporales; Entrophosporaceae.
CCAAUAGCGUAUAUUAAAGUUGUUGCAGUUAAAAAGCUCGUAGUUGAAUUUCGGGAUUGACGUGAUGGUCAUGCCUUAAGGGGUAUGAACUGUUGCUGUUGAUUUCUCACCUUCUGGAGAAACUUGAUGUCCUUUAUUGGGUGUCUUGCGGAUCCAGGACCUUUACCUUGAAAAAAUUAGAGUGUUUAAAGCAGGCAUUUUUGCUCGAAUACAUUAGCAUGGAAUAAUAGAAUAGGACGGCAUGGUUCUAUUUUGUUGGUUUAUAGGAUCACCGUAAUGAUUAAUAGGGAUAGUUGGGGGCAUUAGUAUUCAAUUGUCAGAGGUGAAAUUCUUGGAUUUAUUGAAGACUAACUACUGCGAAAGCAUUUGCCAAGGAUGUUUUCAUUAAUCAAGAACGAAAGUUAGGGGAUCGAAGACGAUCAGAUACCGUCGUAGUCUUAACCAUAAACUAUGCCGACUAGGAAUCAGACGAUGUUAAUUUUUUAAUGACUCGUUUGGCACCUUACG